This 497-nucleotide ribosomal RNA is filed under the name uncultured bacterium. RNAcentral's name for it is "partial 16S ribosomal RNA". It matches the Rfam family "Bacterial small subunit ribosomal RNA", at positions 28 to 507 of the family's 1533-position model. The record is from RNAcentral.
GAUGAACGCUGGCGGCGUGCCUAAUACAUGCAAGUCGAACGAACAGACGCGGAGCUUGCGCCUCUGACGUUAGCGGCGGGGGGGUGAGUCACACGUGUAUAACCUACCUAUCAGUCUGGUAUCACUUCGGGACACCGGAUCUAAUCCCGUAUGAUAUAUUGAACCACAUGGUUCGAUGGUGAAAUACGGUUUUGCUGUCAGGUAUCGCGGUAUCCCAGCCGUAUUAGCUAGUUGUUAAGGUCACGGGUUACCAAGGCAACGAGGCGUAGCCGACCGGAGAGGGUGAUCGGCCACCCUGGAACUGGGACACGGUCAAUAGGACUACGGGAGGCAGCAGUAGGGAAUCUUCCGCAAUGGGCGAAAGCAUGACGGAGCAACGCCGCGUGAGUGAUGAAGGUCUUCGGAUCGUAAAACUGUGUUAUUAGGGAAGAACAACUGUGUAAGUAAAUAUGCACGUAUUGACGGUAACUAAUCAGAAAGCACCGGCUAACUACGUG